UCUGCCUGCAGCUAGACCAGGAAGAAAGGAGACUGAGCAGAGGAAAUGAAAGAGUAAAGGAGAGGAGAGAGUGGGUAGGACACAAAGCUGAGGUGACUGAAGCAGCAGGAAGUAGGCAGGGCAUGAAGAAUUGGGAUUCAAAGCCCUUGAAUUUAGUUCCCAACUUCACUUAUGGGGCAAUGCUCCAAGUCACUCAGUCACCCUGAACUUCAGCUGGAGAAGGGGAACAGGAAUAAUGCCUAUCUUCCAGGAGUGUUCUGCACAAAACUGAAGGCACAGAUGAAAAAGCACUCUGCAAAUUAAAAGGUGCUUCCAAGACCAAGAUAACCAGGCAAUCAUAGUAGAUGCAUCAAUGCACCCUUGCCCAAGGGCCUAGACAAGAGGAGGAAGGAAAGGAGGAGCACGUGCACAAAGCUAAGGAGGUGAUUAACAACAUGAUACAGUAUUGUUUAGCUUCGCAUGAAUUUUAUCACCUUGCCUAGAACCAGCCACCAUCUGCCAGGGCUCCUGACUUUUUCUGAAAUGAAUAGACACUAAAGCCUGCUGGGGAAUUUCAUGGAAAUCAAGAUGACUCAACCCAGAGUCCAUUUCAAGGCUAGGAUGCUAGAGGACGCCAACAAAGGAGUAGGGAAGUGAAACGGAUCAGCUCACAUCCAAGCCCUUGCAUGAUCAAUCCUGCAGUAGGAGUGCUGCUCAGUUGGGACUCAUGAGAGCCCGGAAGAGGAAAAAGCAGCUCUAAGCAUAGCAAAGAAGCUGUUAUGGAAAAGACCCAAAUGUUAAAAUGGUGGACAUAGUAAAGUGAUUGGUUCUGCUUAGGGGAAUCUAGAUCCCCACAUUUUGACCUCCACUGGAGUCUCAGAAGAACAAGUGCCAGGGGGGCUUGCCACAGAGGCCAAGGCAGUGAAUGUCAGGCACAUCACAGUCCCCAAGAUGGGGAGAAGACUGAGAUGCAGGGUAACAACUGCAAUCCAUUCAUGGGAGCCAUGUUUAUCUUAAAUCAUUGACAGUGAGAUAAGGAUCAUGUCAGCCUUCAUACCUUUGAUGAUGAUCCCAGGCUGCAACAGUGACACAUAGAACUGGAUUCAGUAACUAACUACAGAUUCCAUCAACCAGGACUAGUAAAGUGAAAGGCAGAAAUUGGGAGGAGGGGUUUCUUUCUUGCUUAUAAAACUUUAUUUGGUUGUGUUGAGUAUGUGCAUGUAUGUAUGAAAUCCCAUAAAGCAGUCUUCUUAGGAACAAGCCAACAUGCCACAAUGUAGGAGAUCUUUGGAGCACUGGCCUAAAUGGCAGAGAGCUCAAGGGACUCUGCUUUGUACAAGGCAUGAUUUGUACCACCACCACUAUCCCUGUUUCAGAGCACUGUUGAAUUGUUCCAAACCUGGAUUUCUAUGUCAGCUCCCUGUCUAUAGUACUUGACUGAUAAAUGCUAGUUUCUGAAAUCUGCUUUGGUUCUAUAAUUUAUUAGACAGCUUUUUCUUCCCAUUUUAUUACUUGUUUUUACUGUCAUUGGUAUAUUAUCUCUUACAGUGAAAACAUUCAUAGGCUGAUUGAAGAGAAGAUCUGAAAUUAUUAGGCAGCAAGCAUACAAAACCCUUGCUUUAUAAAGAUAAUAUCUUAAAGGCCUAAUGUCUAUGGUUCAAAGCAGCCUGGAGAUGUUGGCUAAAUCUUCCAUCAUAGAGUCCUCAUGGGAUCUGGAAGCUCUGAUUUAUCUUCCUUCAGGCCCUAUAAGUUAGCUUUCCACAUCUGUAGGUUCCACAAUCAACCUUGGAUCAAAAACAUUUGAAA
Molecule: long non-coding RNA, 1785 nt
Filed under: Homo sapiens (human)
Lineage: Eukaryota; Metazoa; Chordata; Mammalia; Primates; Hominidae
Description: HSALNT0172489
Source: RNAcentral